GAGAGAUAACACGGCAGACAGAUUUGGGUUCCACCAGAGGUGAAUCAAUGCAUGGAUGUCCCAACUAUUUCCAUCAGCAGCCCCGCUCCCUCCCCGCCGGCCUGUGGGGGUUAUCCUGGCCUAUUAGAUGCUGUAAUGUUAAAGUACCCAAUCCUGAUUGUGCUCCAGACAGGGCGAAAAGCCUCCGGAUUGCUCCAGCUGAUACCCUACAUUUCGGAUGACAGGGGCUUGGUGGUCCCUGCUCACUCAAUCAGAGACAUACUCCCCUAACGCUUAGAAGCCAUGGGGGACUGUUGGUUCGUCUGGAUCCUCGAGCUACUCACC
Non-coding RNA from Pelobates cultripes (western spadefoot toad), 324 nucleotides. NCBI's taxonomy places the organism in Eukaryota, Metazoa, Chordata, Amphibia, Anura, Pelobatidae. The record is from the annotation of a GenBank genome assembly.